UACGUAGGGUGCGAGCGUUAAUCGGAAUUACUGGGCGUAAAGCGUGCGCAGGCGGUGUUGUAAGACAGUUGUGAAAUCCCCGGGCUUAACCUGGGAACUGCAUCUGUGACUGCAAUGCUGGAGUGCGGCAGAGGGGGAUGGAAUUCCGCGUGUAGCAGUGAAAUGCGUAGAUAUGCGGAGGAACACCGAUGGCGAAGGCAAUCCCCUGGGCCUGCACUGACGCUCAUGCACGAAAGCGUGGGGAGCAAACAGG
RNAcentral lists this ribosomal RNA (253 nucleotides) under uncultured bacterium. RNAcentral describes it as "partial 16S ribosomal RNA". It matches the Rfam family "Bacterial small subunit ribosomal RNA", at positions 524 to 776 of the family's 1533-position model. The record is from RNAcentral.